UGACCGUGGCCCAAGGUAGCAUAAUCAAUUGUCUUUUAAUUGAAGGCUGGAAUGAAAGGUUGGAUGAGAUAUAAACUAUUUUUAUUUUAUGAAUAAUGAAUUUUAAUUUUAAGUAAAAAUGCUUAAAUAAAUAAAUUAGACGAGAAGACCCUAUAAAUCUUUAUUUUUUUAAAAAAAUAAAUAAAUUUAUAAAAAUUUUUGUUAUUUUUUUUUAAAGAAUUUAAUUGGGGUGAUUAUUAAAUUUAAUAAACUUUUAUUAAUUUUUACAACUUAUGUUUGAUUAUAAUGAUCCAUUAUUAAUGAUUAAAAGUUUAAGUUACUUUAGGGAUAACAGCGUAAUUAUUUUGAAGAGUUCUUAUCGAUAAAAUAGAUUGCGACCUCGAUGUUGAAUUAAGAUAAAUUUAAAUGUAGGAAGGU
RNAcentral lists this ribosomal RNA (417 nucleotides) under Culicoides zuluensis. RNAcentral describes it as "partial 16S ribosomal RNA". Lineage: Eukaryota; Metazoa; Arthropoda; Insecta; Diptera; Ceratopogonidae. The record is from RNAcentral.